RNAcentral lists this long non-coding RNA (264 nucleotides) under Mytilus galloprovincialis (Mediterranean mussel). Lineage: Eukaryota; Metazoa; Mollusca; Bivalvia; Mytilida; Mytilidae. The record is from RNAcentral.
AAAAAAUGGGGGAAUCAUGUUAAUUAACCUUACAAUGCAACCACCUGGAUCCACACUUAAUGAGGUAAAACAUCUGUGUUUAGUAAGGAUGUUCAAUUAGAUAAUUAAAUAUAGAUAGCUCACGUCCUUGUGAACUCUCAGACAGAUUUUUGCUGUCAUAGGUGAUGUACUUUGGCCACCAAGUCAAAUUAUGUUUUUUCAUCAACAUAAAUAGACCUAAACAGUCUGUCAUUUUGUGACUUAUAUAAGUCUUAAAUUGAAAAC